AUGAGUCAUAGUAAAGCAUAAAAAUUAAUACAGAAGAUAAGACCACAAGCAAAAAUACUCAUUUUAUUCAAUUGAAGAAGAAAUUACAAUCAUUGGGUUACAAUUUAUUUGCCAACCGGGCACGCUUAAGUUCGGCUCUAAAUCCGGUCAUCAUGACCUUACAAGAGGCAACAAAAUUCUAAACUUCCCUAUGGGUGUUUUGGAGAAUCAUUAUAGAAAAGGGCAUGUUAAGUGUGUAACUGAAUCAAUAAUGGCUAAACUACAGUCAGAGGUUGGUAACAUGACAUGGACACGGUGAUGCAAGUUUGGACAUGUUUGGCAUGGUUUGGUUAUCUUAGACAUGAACUUGGUUACACUUGAAGCCAUUUGGUUAAAAAGAUGGUGAAGUCUUAAAGUUUGAAGAGAGAUAGGUCUAGGGAGGAUUGUUUAGAAAUCAGAGUCAGUCCAAGGUCAAUGGUCAAAUGUUGACAAAAAGUCAACAAUUUAACCAAAAGUCAACUGUACUAAAAAGUGUAAUUUUCUUGGUAAUUUUCAAAUUCUGAAUGCAAUGGCUUGGUAACUUGUACUUGAAGUCAAUUUGUGAUCGAAUUUUGUAAUGACUUGUAUGGAUAACUUGUUUUCCAAGUAAAUGAAGAAAAAAUCCCUCCUUUUGAAUUUGAA
This is a long non-coding RNA of Lathyrus oleraceus (garden pea), 660 nucleotides long. RefSeq lists it as uncharacterized. NCBI's taxonomy places the organism in Eukaryota, Viridiplantae, Streptophyta, Magnoliopsida, Fabales, Fabaceae. The transcript has 3 exons. The record is from RefSeq and is a predicted model, not a curated record.